Helianthus annuus (common sunflower) is the source of this 982-nucleotide long non-coding RNA. RefSeq lists it as uncharacterized. NCBI's taxonomy places the organism in Eukaryota, Viridiplantae, Streptophyta, Magnoliopsida, Asterales, Asteraceae. The record is from RefSeq and is a predicted model, not a curated record. The transcript is spliced from 4 exons.
CUGUUCCCACCUCUUACCAGUUCCUGGUUCCAAUUCGAGAAGAUCAGAUCGACUAUGCGAAUCCCUUUUAUCUAUGUGAUUAGCGUUAGUUUCUCAAACAUGUAUGUGUCAUUUUCUGUUCCCUCCGUACCAGAAAUGAGUUCAGUUUCCAAAUUGUCGAUUAUAAGAGUUUUAGAUCUGCAGAAUUGAGUUCGAGUGAAGCAGAUCUAAGGUGAAUUUCCGGUGAUCCCGCCUCGUAUUGCGACUAGAAAAGGGACUCAAGUAGUGAUGUAAGCAGUGAUUACAACCUCCCAAAGAGUGAAAUUUUUCAGCGGUUGGAUCAAUUGUCGUUAAAUUACCAACAAGUCCUUCAAGAAGGCUUCUCUAGUGAUGAGGUUGAAUCAGGAAGACCACAAAGCUGUCUUUCAUUUGAGUAUUUGGAGUGUAAUCAACCUUGGGGUUGGGAACCUUUGACUGAUACUUGAUCUUGUGCGUCGCUUCACAGAGUUGAAAAGCAUGAAAAGUUGUGACUUGUUUUCUUCUAGUUGGUUAUCUGUGGCUUGGUACCCAAGUUAUAGGACUCUAAUGGGACCAACAUUGAAAGAUCUUAAUGUUGUUUUUUACCUUUCAUUCUCUUCAUACACCAAUCACAGGUUUGUAAUUUUCUAUAUAACUUUUGUGUUGCAUUUUGAACCUGUUGAUUUGAUUACUGGAACUUAAAGUCACAAGUAUCAGUUUCUAGCGCUUGGAUAAAUUGAUCACUUUUACUUUUUUCCACAACAAUGUAUUUUUUAGUUGUUUUCUUAAUUUAUCGGAUAAUCAAAGUUUCUCAAACACUUGAAUAACCUAUAGGGGUGUAACCUAGCCGAGCCCAAGCCCGACUAGGUUGAGCUUGGCUCGUCAUGUUUUUAUGAAACUCGAACUUAAGCUCGACUCUGUUCGAGCCUGCUUAUUGGGACUAAGGGUGUUCUUGGAGAUAAUGCCUUGGCUAUUGAAGUAGUAU